AUCCGCUGCUCUGUUAAGUGAUCACCACAUUCAUUGUUCUCGUUUCUAUUAUUUCUGAAAAAAAUCUUCAGGAUUCUGCUUGUGGGAGUGGAUGACAUUUUUACAGUGUUUACAGCUUUAUCUAUUCCAGAAUGUCAUAUAGCUGGUAUAAGGUUGUCUUCAUUCAUUUCCACAGUUUCUCUGGAGGUUCCAACAAGAUACGGUCUCCAUUGCCCAUUGCUCUGGACCCCAGCCAUCACCCAGUGCAGCAGUGAUGCCUUAUGACAAGUCAGCACCUGGUCUGAACUCUGCUCUCUUUGCACUGAAUUCUUUGAGUUUUUAUUCCAAGUUCAGUCAUUGGUUUUAGUAUUGGUUCCCAUCUGCUUGGCAUCCUUGGUGGAAUUGGGCUUCUUUUUUCAAUUUCUUUUUGCUGUCUUUUUGUUUUACUGUGUUGAGUAGUGCUAUCUAAAUGUGUUUAUCAUAAAAGAAGCAGCACAUGAUCAUAGGCCCAUGAGCCUGUUUUUCAAGCCAGCCAAACAGCACAUUUAGUUUGACAUUCACACUGGACCUCUGUCCAUUUUUAUAAACUUCGCUUUGGGUCAUCAAUAAAACUAAAUGAAGUUCUCUCUUG
Molecule: long non-coding RNA, 610 nt
Filed under: Homo sapiens (human)
Lineage: Eukaryota; Metazoa; Chordata; Mammalia; Primates; Hominidae
Description: HSALNT0349119
Source: RNAcentral